AACGAACGCUGGCGGCAUGCCUAACACAUGCAAGUCGAACGAGACCUUUGGGUCUAGUGGCGCACGGGUGCGUAACGCGUGGGAAUCUGCCCUUGGGUUCGGAAUAACAGUGAGAAAUUGCUGCUAAUACCGGAUGAUGUCUUCGGACCAAAGAUUUAUCGCCCAGGGAUGAGCCCGCGUAGGAUUAGCUAGUUGGUGGGGUAAUGGCCUACCAAGGCGACGAUCCUUAGCUGGUCUGAGAGGAUGAUCAGCCACACUGGGACUGAGACACGGCCCAGACUCCUACGGGAGGCAGUAGUGGGGAAUAUUGGACAAUGGGCGCAAGCCUGAUCCAGCAAUGCCGCGUGAGUGAUGAAGGCCUUAGGGUUGUAAAGCUCUUUUACCAGGGAUGAUAAUGACAGUACCUGGAGAAUAAGCUCCGGCUAACUCCGUG
RNAcentral lists this ribosomal RNA (433 nucleotides) under uncultured bacterium. RNAcentral describes it as "partial 16S ribosomal RNA". It matches the Rfam family "Bacterial small subunit ribosomal RNA", at positions 29 to 507 of the family's 1533-position model. The record is from RNAcentral.